UACGGGGGGAGCAAGCGUUGUUCGGAUUUAUUGGGCGUAAAGAGCGCGCAGGCGGUCGUUCAAGUCGCGUGUGAAAGCCCCCGGCUCAACUGGGGAGGGUCACGCGAUACUGAUCGACUCGAAGGCAGGAGAGGGUAGUGGAAUUCCCGGUGUAGUGGUGAAAUGCGCAGAUAUCAGGAGGAACACCAAUGGCGAAGGCAGCUCGCUGGGACGGUACUGACGCUGAGGCGCGAAAGCGUGGGGAGCAAACAGG
Molecule: ribosomal RNA, 253 nt
Filed under: uncultured bacterium
Lineage: Bacteria
Description: partial 16S ribosomal RNA
Rfam family: Bacterial small subunit ribosomal RNA
Source: RNAcentral